GGAAUGUGACGGGGUCUGCUUUUGUGGUGGGGGUUUUCGGGAGGUUGACUAGAGGUUAAAGAUUGCUUUCGAUGAGAUGCAUGAUGUGUUUUCUCAUUGGCUAGAACUACAACUAGAAGAUCAUAGUCUCUUGCUACCCUUGUUGGUGUGUUAUCAUAUACAUAUCUGUGGAUGUGAUCUGCCUAUUCUCAUGAUUCACCUUUACACCAAGGUUAC
RNAcentral lists this long non-coding RNA (216 nucleotides) under Setaria viridis. Its description in RNAcentral is "long non-coding RNA (SVIR_LNC004694)". The record is from RNAcentral. Lineage: Eukaryota; Viridiplantae; Streptophyta; Magnoliopsida; Poales; Poaceae.